Molecule: long non-coding RNA, 385 nt
Organism: Stegastes partitus (bicolor damselfish)
Lineage: Eukaryota; Metazoa; Chordata; Actinopteri; Pomacentridae
Exons: 3
Source: RefSeq, a predicted model, not a curated record
UAACUUUCCACAGGAUGCUGAUGAUGAUAUCCUGACAGAACAACGUCAGUCCCACAGCAACAAUCCAGAUGUUUCUCCAUUACAGGAUGCUGAUGACAAUAUCCUGACAGAACAACGUCCGUCCCACAGCAACAAUCCAGGUGUUUCUCCAUCUCAGAAUACCACUGGAACCAACUAUUCCACAAUUUCUGGAAACCGUGGAACCACUGCAACCCAUCGUUCCACAGCCUCUAGAACCACAAGAAGCCAUCUUUCCGAAGCCUCUGGAACAGCUGGAACCCAUCGUUCCACAGCCUUUGGAACCACUAGAAGCCAUCUUUCCACAGCCUCUGGAACCGCUGGAGCCCGUCUUUCAACAGCCUCUAGAACCAGUAGAAUCCAUCUU